This 465-nucleotide ribosomal RNA is filed under the name Vreelandella stevensii. RNAcentral's name for it is "partial 16S ribosomal RNA". It matches the Rfam family "Bacterial small subunit ribosomal RNA", at positions 338 to 795 of the family's 1533-position model. The record is from RNAcentral. Lineage: Bacteria; Pseudomonadati; Pseudomonadota; Gammaproteobacteria; Oceanospirillales; Halomonadaceae.
CCUACGGGGGGCAGCAGUGGGGAAUAUUGGACAAUGGGCGAAAGCCUGAUCCAGCCAUGCCGCGUGUGUGAAGAAGGCCUUCGGGUUGUAAAGCACUUUCAGUGGGGAAGAAAGCCUUGGGGCUAAUACCCUCGAGGAAGGACAUCACCCACAGAAGAAGCACCGGCUAACUCCGUGCCAGCAGCCGCGGUAAUACGGAGGGUGCGAGCGUUAAUCGGAAUUACUGGGCGUAAAGCGCGCGUAGGCGGUCUGAUAAGCCGGUUGUGAAAGCCCCGGGCUCAACCUGGGAACGGCAUCCGGAACUGUCAGGCUAGAGUGCAGGAGAGGAAGGUAGAAUUCCCGGUGUAGCGGUGAAAUGCGUAGAGAUCGGGAGGAAUACCAGUGGCGAAGGCGGCCUACUGGAAUGACACUGACGCUGAGGUGCGAAAGCGUGGGUAGCAAACAGGAUUAGAUACCCUGGUAGUC